AUACGGAGGGUGCAAGCGUUGUCCGGAUUUAUUGGGUUUAAAGGGUGUGUAGGCGGUGUAUUAAGUCAGUGGUGAAAGCCUGCGGCUCAACCGUAGAACUGCCAUUGAUACUGACACACUUGAGUAUGGACGAGGUAGGCGGAAUUUAUGGUGUAGCGGUGAACUGCAUAGAUACCAUAAAGAACACCGAUAGCGAAGGCAGCUUACUAGGCCAUAACGGACGCUGAGGCACGAAAGCGUGGGGAGCGAAAAGGAUUAGAAACCCCGGUAGUCC
This 274-nucleotide ribosomal RNA is filed under the name uncultured bacterium. RNAcentral describes it as "partial 16S ribosomal RNA". It matches the Rfam family "Bacterial small subunit ribosomal RNA", at positions 523 to 796 of the family's 1533-position model. The record is from RNAcentral.